Molecule: ribosomal RNA, 497 nt
Filed under: uncultured bacterium
Lineage: Bacteria
Description: partial 16S ribosomal RNA
Rfam family: Bacterial small subunit ribosomal RNA
Source: RNAcentral
GACGAACGCUGGCGGCGUGCCUAAUACAUGCAAGUCGAACGCUGAAGCGAGGAGCUUGCUCUUCUUGGAUGAGUUGCGCACGGGUGAGUAACGCGUAGGUAACCUGCCUUGUAGCGGGGGAUAACUAUUGGAAACGAUAGCUAAUACCGCAUAACAAUAGGUGACACAUGUCAUUUAUUUGAAAGGGGCAAUUGCUCCACUACAAGAUGGACCUGCGUUGUAUUAGCUAGUAGGUGAGGUAACGGCUCACCUAGGCGACGAUACAUAGCCGACCUGAGAGGGGGAUCGGCCACACUGGGACUGAGACACGGCCCAGACUCCUACGGGAGGCAGCAGUAGGGAAUCGGCGGCAAUGGGGGCAACCCUGACCGAGCAACGCCGCGUGAGUGAAGAAGGGUGUCGGAUCGGAAAGCUCGGUUGUAAGUCAAGAACGAGUGUGAGAGUGGAAAGUUCACACUGUGACGGUAGCUGAACAGAAAGGGACGGCUAACUACGUG